ACAAGCGGUGGAGCAUGUGGUUAAUUCGAUGGUACACGAGGAACUUACCUGGGUUUGACAUGCACAGGAAUACGGCAGAGAUGUCGUAGUCCCGCAAGGGAUCUGUGAACAGGUGCUGCAUGGCUGUCGUCAGCUCGUGUCGUGAGAUGUUGGGUUAAGUCCCGCAACGAGCGCAACCCUUAUCAUUAGUUGCUACGCAAGGGCACUCUAAUGAGACUGCCGGUGACAAACCGGAGGAAGGUGGGGAUGACGUCAAGUCCUCAUGGCCCUUAUGGGUAGGGCUUCACACGUCAUACAAUGGUCGGUACAGAGGGUUGCCAAGCCGCGAGGCGGAGCCAAUCCCACAAAGCCGAUCGUAGUCCGGAUUGUUCUCUGCAACUCGAGAGCAUGAAGUCGGAAUCGCUAGUAAUCGCAGGUCAGCAUACUGCGGUGAAUACGUUCCCGGGUCUU
This 450-nucleotide ribosomal RNA is filed under the name uncultured Thiobacillus sp. RNAcentral's name for it is "bacterial SSU rRNA". It matches the Rfam family "Bacterial small subunit ribosomal RNA", at positions 925 to 1382 of the family's 1533-position model. The record is from RNAcentral. Lineage: Bacteria; Pseudomonadati; Pseudomonadota; Betaproteobacteria; Nitrosomonadales; Thiobacillaceae.